Molecule: ribosomal RNA, 494 nt
Filed under: uncultured bacterium
Lineage: Bacteria
Description: partial 16S ribosomal RNA
Rfam family: Bacterial small subunit ribosomal RNA
Source: RNAcentral
GACGAACGUUGGCGGCGUGCUUAACACAUGCAAGUCGAACGGUGAAGCGCCUUCCGCUUUGGUGGGUGGGGGUGAGUGGCGAACGGGUGAGUAACACGUGAGUAACCUGCCCCCUUCUUCUGGAUAACCGCAUGAAAGUGUGGCUAAUACGGGAUACUCUGGGUCUGUCGCAUGAUGGGUCUGGGAAAGAUAUUGUGUCGGAGGGGGAUGGGCUCGCGGCCUAUCAGGUUGUUGGUGGGGUGAUGGCCUACCAAGGCGGUGUCGGGUAGCCGGCCGGAGAGGGUCGGCCGCCACGGUAGGGAGGCAAGGCGGACAAGACUACGAGGGGCGGCAGUGGUGGGUAAUAGUGCACAAGGGGCGCAAGCAUGCUGCAGCGACGCGGCGUGAGAGAUGGAGGCCUGCUGGUUGAGAACCUCUUUCGCGAGUGAAGAGCGCCUGCCUCGUUUGUCGGUGGGUUGACGGUAGCUGGAUAAGAAGCGCCGGCUAACUACGUG